AAAUAGGAAGCAGAUUAGUCUCAGGCAAAACCAGUCUUAAUACAUGGUAGUAAGAAAACAGUCUUAGUUAAGUCUUAAACAGGAAGCAUCAAACACAUUAACACAGUAGCAUUAAAACCAUAAACACAAACCACCAUUACUGCAUUAAGUUUAUAUAUAUGUAUGUAUUUAUACGCUUUUAAAGAGGAAGCCAGCGCUGAUUCUGAUGGUGGCUCACCAGGUCAUCCAGCAUCCACAGUUCCACCGACUCAGUUGUCUCACAGCUGCUUCCACUCAACUGAGCCUCCAUCUUCUCUGGCUCCAAUCCCAGAAACGUUUCCAGGCUCGAGAUGUGCUCUUUCAGCUCAUAAUCACUCCCCAAUAAUUCCUUUUGAUGUCCAAGACCCAUGUAUUGCUGCGGUGCUGUCACAGCGCUGCUGCUGCUGCUGCUGCAGCUUUCGAAGCUUGCAGCAGGAGACAUCUCAGGAGCCAUCAUCAUCAGGCAACGCUUCUUGGAUGGUGGUUGUGGUGGUGGUGGAGCUUGAGUUGCGGAUGGUGACUGCCCAAAAUUGAGCUUUGCCUUGUCUCCACGGAUGCGCUUCGCUGCCUCAUCAUAGGCUCUGGCAGCUUCUUCAGCUGUGUUAUAAGUACCGAGCCAGACACGAACACCCUUGUGUGGGUCUCUGAUCUCAGCAGCCCAUUUUCCCCAAGGCCUUUGCCUUAUUCCUCUGUAAAUAUUCUUGCGAAUUCUCCGAGUCUUGUUCCCUUCCAUUACAGUGCUAGCUUUCUCAGUUUUCUCAACUUGGUUGAGCUUCAGCUUCGGCUUUUCAUGGAGUUUAAGAUCCAACUUGGUAGAUAUCUGGUCUUUAUUGGCAUUAUUAGGGUAGUCCAAGCCAAGAAAGUCAGAGAAGGUAUCCAGCUCAGACCAGAGAUCCUCGGCGUUCAAUUGCCGUCUGGGUUUCACGGCUACGAAAUCGGAGAUAAUAGCACCACCACACAUGUUUCCGAGUAGCGUAUCGAGGUGAGAGUCAGAAAACAGAGAAAGGACUCUG
This 1031-nucleotide unclassified non-coding RNA is filed under the name Hevea brasiliensis (rubber tree). Lineage: Eukaryota; Viridiplantae; Streptophyta; Magnoliopsida; Malpighiales; Euphorbiaceae. The record is from RNAcentral.